AGAGUUUGAUCCUGGCUCAGGAUGAACGCUAGCGGUGGGCUUAACACAUGCAAGUCGAGGGGUAACAGGGGAGUUCGCUUCCGCUGACGACCGGCGCACGGGUGAGUAACACGUAUGCAACCUGCCGUUAACUGGAGCAUAGCUCCGAGAAAUCGGAAUUAAUACUCCAUAAUAUCUAUUUAUCGCAUGAUAGUUAGAUUAAAGCUUCGGCGGUUAAAGAUGGGCAUGCGGGACAUUAGCUUUUGGUGAGGUAACGGCUCACCAAGGCUACGAUGUCUAUGGGGUCUUAAAGGAUGGUCCCACACACUGGUACUGAGACACGGACCAGACUCCUACGGGAGGCAGCAGUGAGGAAUAUUGGGCAAUGGGCGAAAGCCUGACCCAGCCAUACCGCGUGCAGGAUGACGGCCCUAUGGGUUGUAAACUGCUUUUGUACGGGAAGAAAAAACUCUACGUGUAGAGAACUGACGGUACCGUACGAAUAAGGAUCGGCUAACUCCGUGCCAGCAGCCGCGGUAAUACGGAGGAUCCAGGCGUUAUCCGGAUUUAUUAGGUUUAAAGGGUACGUAGGCGGAAAAAUAAGUCAGUGGUGAAAUCCUGCAGCUCAACUGUAGAACUGCCAUUGAUACUGUUUUUCUUGAGUAUAGUUGAGGUGGGCGGAAUGUGUCAUGUAGCGGUGAAAUGCUUAGAUAUGACACAGAACACCGAUUGCGUAGGCAGCUCACUAAACUAUCACUGACGCUGAGGUACGAAAGCGUGGGGAGCGAACAGGAUUAGAUACCCUGGUAGUCCACGCUGUAAACGAUGAUUACUCGUUGUGUGCGAUAUACAGUACGCGACUGAACGAAAGUAUUAAGUAAUCCACCUGGGGAGUACGUCGGCAACGAUGAAACUCAAAGGAAUUGACGGGGGCCCGCACAAGCGGAGGAACAUGUGGUUUAAUUCGAUGAUACGCGAGGAACCUUACCUGGACUUAAAUGCAAAACGACCGGUGCCGAAAGGUGCUUUCCCUUCGGGGCGGAUUGCAAGGUGCUGCAUGGUUGUCGUCAGCUCGUGCCGUGAGGUGUCGGGUUAAGUCCCAUAACGAGCGCAACCCCUAUUGUUAGUUGCUAACAGGUAAUGCUGAGGACUCUAACGAAACUGCCGGUGUAAACCGUGAGGAAGGUGGGGAUGACGUCAAAUCAGCACGGCCCUUACGUCCAGGGCUACACACGUGUUACAAUGGCCGAUACAGUGGGCAGCUACUUGGCAACAAGAUGCUAAUCUCCAAAGUCGGUCUCAGUUCGGAUCGAAGUCUGCAACAAAAAAG
This 1309-nucleotide ribosomal RNA is filed under the name metagenome. RNAcentral's name for it is "bacterial SSU rRNA". It matches the Rfam family "Bacterial small subunit ribosomal RNA", at positions 8 to 1314 of the family's 1533-position model. The record is from RNAcentral.